This 72-nucleotide transfer RNA is filed under the name Volvariella volvacea V23. Its description in RNAcentral is "tRNA-Thr (CGT) (tRNA-Thr-CGT-2-1)". It matches the Rfam family "tRNA". From Rfam's summary of the family: Transfer RNA (tRNA) molecules are approximately 80 nucleotides in length. Their secondary structure includes four short double-helical elements and three loops (D, anti-codon, and T loops). The record is from RNAcentral. Lineage: Eukaryota; Fungi; Basidiomycota; Agaricomycetes; Agaricales; Pluteaceae.
UCCCUCUUAGCUCAGUGGUAGAGCGCAUCACUCGUAAUGAUGAGGUCAGUCGUUCAAUCCGGCUAGGGGGAA